GACGAACGCUGGCGGCGUGCUUAACACAUGCAAGUCGAGCGGUAAGGCCCUUUCGGGGGUACACGAGCGGCGAACGGGUGAGUAACACGUGGGUGACCUGCCCUCAGCUCUGGGAUAAGCCUGGGAAACCGGGUCUAAUACCGGAUAUGACUCCAUGACGCAUGUUGUGGGGUGAAAGCCUUGUGCGGCUGAGGAUGGGCCCGCGGCCUAUCAGCUUGUUGGUGGGGUGAUGGCCUACCAAGGCGACGACGGGUAGCCGGCCUGAGAGGGUGAACGGCCACACUGGAACUGAGACACGGUCCAGACUCCUACGGGAGGCAGCAGUGAGGAAUUUUGCGCAAUGGGCGAAAGCCUGACGCAGCAACGCCGCGUGGACGAUGAAGGUCUUCGGAUCGUAAAGUCCUGUCGAGU
RNAcentral lists this ribosomal RNA (411 nucleotides) under uncultured bacterium. RNAcentral describes it as "bacterial SSU rRNA". It matches the Rfam family "Bacterial small subunit ribosomal RNA", at positions 28 to 441 of the family's 1533-position model. The record is from RNAcentral.